AUAUUGCACAAUGGGCGGAAGCCUGAUGCAGCAACGCCGCGUGAGCGAAGAAGGCCUUUGGGUCGUAAAGCUCUGUCCAAGGGGAAGAUAAUGACGGUACCCUUGGUGGAAGCCCCGGCUAACUACGUGCCAGCAGCCGCGGUAAUACGUAGGGGGCGAGCGUCAUCCGGAAUUAUUGGGCGUAAAGAGUGCGUAGGCGGUUUUUUAAGCGUGGGGUGAAAGGCAUAGGCUCAAGCUAUGUAAGCCCCGCGAACUGGAAGGCUUGAGUGCAGGAGAGGAAAGCGGAAUUCCUAGUGUAGCGGUGAAAUGCGUAGAUAUUAGGAGGAACACCAGUGGCGAAGGCGGCUUUCUGGACUGUAACUGACGCUGAGGCACGAAAGCGUGGGUAGCGAACA
Molecule: ribosomal RNA, 395 nt
Filed under: Clostridium sp. PPf35E6
Lineage: Bacteria; Bacillati; Bacillota; Clostridia; Eubacteriales; Clostridiaceae
Description: bacterial SSU rRNA
Rfam family: Bacterial small subunit ribosomal RNA
Source: RNAcentral